RNAcentral lists this ribosomal RNA (266 nucleotides) under uncultured bacterium. RNAcentral's name for it is "partial 16S ribosomal RNA". It matches the Rfam family "Bacterial small subunit ribosomal RNA", at positions 524 to 791 of the family's 1533-position model. The record is from RNAcentral.
UACGAAGGGGGCUAGCGUUGUUCGGAAUUACUGGGCGUAAAGCGCACGUAGGCGGAUAUUUAAGUCAGGGGUGAAAUCCCAGAGCUCAACUCUGGAACUGCCUUUGAUACUGGGUAUCUUGAGUAUGGAAGAGGUAAGUGGAAUUGCGAGUGUAGAGGUGAAAUUCGUAGAUAUUCGCAGGAACACCAGUGGCGAAGGCGGCUUACUGGUCCAUAACUGACGCUGAGGUGCGAAAGCGUGGGAGCAAACAGGAUAGAUACCCGGAG